RNAcentral lists this transfer RNA (73 nucleotides) under Microcaldota archaeon. RNAcentral describes it as "Micrarchaeota archaeon tRNA". It matches the Rfam family "tRNA". Rfam says of the family: Transfer RNA (tRNA) molecules are approximately 80 nucleotides in length. Their secondary structure includes four short double-helical elements and three loops (D, anti-codon, and T loops). Lineage: Archaea; Nanobdellati; Microcaldota. RNAcentral also lists the same sequence under 2 other names. The record is from Rfam by way of RNAcentral.
GGGGCCGUAAGGUAACCUGGUAUCCUGCAAGCUUGGGGUGCUUGUUAUCUGAGUUCAAAUCUCGGCGGCCCCA